UAAAAGGUAAUGAUAAAGAGGAGUACAUAAGUGAUGACUUUAUAGAGAAUAGCAUUCACCGGCUGAGAGAUGCUUAAGUAUAGCUUAUGGAAGGUAGCUUUUGAACCGAGAAUCUGAAUUGAUAGUAAGAUUUUACGAGUGAUCUACGUUAUAAGAUUAAGAGAUGCAUCAAAUAAAUGAUUUUGAUUUUUUUGAAAUCUAUUUUGUAGUUUUUUUAAAUUUGAUAUUUGAUGUAACAAAGGUGGUACCGCGAUAAUUCGCCCUUUAU
RNAcentral lists this non-coding RNA (268 nucleotides) under Lachnobacterium bovis. RNAcentral's name for it is "T-box sequence". It matches the Rfam family "T-box leader". Rfam says of the family: Uncharged tRNA acts as the effector for transcription antitermination of genes in the T-box leader family. T-boxes are found upstream of many aminoacyl-tRNA synthetase genes and some amino acid biosynthetic genes usually in Gram-positive bacteria. The record is from RNAcentral. Lineage: Bacteria; Bacillati; Bacillota; Clostridia; Lachnospirales; Lachnospiraceae.